Long non-coding RNA from Hemicordylus capensis (graceful crag lizard), 513 nucleotides. RefSeq lists it as uncharacterized. The record is from RefSeq and is a predicted model, not a curated record. The transcript is spliced from 3 exons. NCBI's taxonomy places the organism in Eukaryota, Metazoa, Chordata, Lepidosauria, Squamata, Cordylidae.
AGGGAAGAAAAAAAGAAGCUGGGAAAACCUGUUUGGUUUUAGGACCUGACUGAAGUAGGAUGCCAGCGUAUAUAGGUUUAGUUGGUAACAAGUAAAUUGGCUGAGUCAUAAAAGAAUUAUCAAAGGUUGGAGUGAUAGAGUUUGGCUGGAUGCAGCCAGAAAGAAAGAAAAAGAGAAGGAAAGAAAGAAAAAAGCAGUGAAGGCCAUAAUGAGGAAGGAGCAAGAAGGGAACCAACAUGGCAAAUCCCUUCAGUUUCCCUGCAGUACAGUAGCUGGAAAUAGUGAGGUGGGGAGCACUCAAGUAAAGGUCAGUCCUGCUAAGCCAAGCAAAAGGCCUCUGGUACCCUAUCACCAUGCUAAUAAAGGAGCAGCAUGUCUUAGUCAGUUGAAGGUUAAAUGGGACCGGGCAGAGAUAUAAAUAAAAUGAAAAACAAGAAUACAGAAAGGAGAUCGCUUCUGAAAAUCAGCUUGUGGCAAGUAAAUAAAGAAUGGCCUCCAGUGAAGACUGUAAGA